Molecule: long non-coding RNA, 1759 nt
Organism: Apteryx haastii (Great spotted kiwi)
Lineage: Eukaryota; Metazoa; Chordata; Aves; Apterygiformes; Apterygidae
Source: Ensembl
CCUGGGUCCCCGGCCAGGGAUGCGGCCGGAUGCGGCCGGAACUCCGGUUGCCAGGGCGACGCUCCCGGCUCCAUCGCCGCGGCAACGCGACCGGGGAGGGGGCGCCGGAGCCGGACUGACGGCUCCGUCCUGCCUCUUCUCCCCCUUGUCCUCCCUCCGUCCGUCCGUCCCUCCCUCCCUCCCUCUGUCCGUUCCUCCCUCUCUCCUUCCACCAUCUCCGUCUGCUCCUCCGUCUCCCCGGCCUCCGUCCCUCCACUGCUCCAUCCCUCUCUCCCUCCGCUGCUCCAUCCGCUCCUCCAUCUGCUCUUCCAUCCCUCCCUCUCUCCGUCCCUCUUUUCUGCACCGUCCAUCCUCCAUCCGUCCCUCUGUCCAUCACCGUGUCCCUCUUCCCCCUCAUCCCCCGUCCAUCCCUUUUCCCUCCUUCUGUCCAUCCCUCCAUCCGUCCCAUUCCUCUUCCCCAUCGUCCAUCCCUCCCUUGGUCCCUCUCCGUGUCCAUCCCUCCUCCCUCCCUCCACGUAUUUGUCCGUCCAUCCCUCCUCCCCCUCAUCCACCCCUCCGUCCCUCCAUCCUUCUGCCCAUCCCUCCAUCUGUUCCUCCAUCCAUCCCUCUCUUCUUCCUCAUCAUCCCUCUGUCCAUCCCUCCUCCUCCUCAUCUCUGCAUCUGUCUCUCUGUCCAUCCCACUUCUCCGUUGUCCUUGUGUCCGUCUCUCUGUCCAUUCCUGCUCCCCAUCCUCUCUCCAUGGGUGUCUCUGUCCAUCCCUCCUCCUCGUGUCUCCAUCCAUCUCUCCAUCCAUUGCUCUCUUCCACUGUCCUUCUGUCCAUCUCUCUGCCCAUCCCUCCUCCCCAUCCUCUCUCCCUCCAUCUCUCUGACCACUUCUCUCCUUCAUUGUCCCUCUGGCCAUCUUUGUCCAUCUCUCCAUCCAUCUUUUUUCUCUCUUGUUCCUCUAUCCAUCUUUCCUCCUGUCUCCAUCCUUCUCUCUGUCUUCUUCAUUGUCCCUACGUCCAUCUCUCCUCCUCAUCCUCCCUGCAUCCAUCUCUCUGUCCAUUUCUCUCCUCCGUUCUCCCUGUUCAUCUCUCCAUCCAUCCUUCUUCUACCUUGUCCCUCUGUCCAUCCCUCCUCCUCCCAUCUCCAUCCAUCUCUCCAUUCAUCUCUCUUCUCCAUUGACCCUGUGUCCAUCCCUCCUCCUCACAUCUCCACCCGUCACCCUCCUCCACUGUCCCUGUGUCCAUCUCUCUGUCCAUCCCUCUGUCCCUUUCUCCUCCUUGUCACCCUUCUGUCCAUCCAUCCUUCUUCUCCAUUGACCCUGUGUCCAUCCCUCUGUCCAUCCCUCCUUCUCCCACCUCCGUCCAUCUCCCCGUCCAUCCCUCUUCUCCAUUGACCCUGCGUCCAUCCCUCUGUCCAUCCCUCUGUCCAUCCCUCCUCCUCCUAUCUCCGUCCAUCUUUCCAUCCAUCCCUCUUCUUUCUUGACCCUGUGUCCAUUGCUCUCCUCCACUGUCCCUAUGUCCAUCUCUCCGUCCAUCCCUCUUCUCCGUUGACCCUGUGUCCAUCCCUCUGUCCAUCCCUCCUCCUCAUGUCUCCAUCCAUCGCUCUCCUCCGCUGUCCCUCCAUGCACCUCCCCGUCCAUCCGUGUCCUCCCCCGUCCCCGUCCCCGUGUCCGUCCAUCCGUCCGCCCGCCCUUGCAGCCCCGCCGCCGCUGCCGCCGCCGCCAUGGAGCGCNNNNNNNNNNNNNNNNNNNNNNNNNNNNNNNNNNNNNNNNNNN